AGUGAACGCUGGCGGUAGGCCUAACACAUGCAAGUCGAACGGCAGCACAGUAAGAGCUUGCUCUUACGGGUGGCGAGUGGCGGACGGGUGAGGAAUACAUCGGAAUCUACUUUUUCGUGGGGGAUAACGUAGGGAAACUUACGCUAAUACCGCAUACGACCUACGGGUGAAAGCAGGGGAUCUUCGGACCUUGCGCGAUUGAAUGAGCCGAUGUCGGAUUAGCUAGUUGGCGGGGUAAAGGCCCACCAAGGCGACGAUCCGUAGCUGGUCUGAGAGGAUGAUCGGCCACACUGGAACUGAGACACGGUCCAGACUCCUACGGGAGGCAGCAGUAGGGAAUAUUGGGCAAUGGGCGCAAGCCUGAUGGAGCAAUGCCGCGUGAGUGAAGAAGGCCUUCGGAUUGUAAAGCCCUGUUGUUGGGGAAGAAAAAAAGCGGAAGAAAAUACGGCUGUUCUGACGGUACCUAAAGAGAAAGCAACGGCUAACUUCGUG
Molecule: ribosomal RNA, 492 nt
Filed under: uncultured bacterium
Lineage: Bacteria
Description: partial 16S ribosomal RNA
Rfam family: Bacterial small subunit ribosomal RNA
Source: RNAcentral